This 492-nucleotide ribosomal RNA is filed under the name uncultured bacterium. Its description in RNAcentral is "partial 16S ribosomal RNA". It matches the Rfam family "Bacterial small subunit ribosomal RNA", at positions 29 to 507 of the family's 1533-position model. The record is from RNAcentral.
AGUGAACGCUGGCGGUAGGCCUAACACAUGCAAGUCGAACGGCAGCACAGUAAGAGCUUGCUCUUACGGGUGGCGAGUGGCGGACGGGUGAGGAAUACAUCGGAAUCUACUUUUUCGUGGGGGAUCACGUAGGGAAACUUACGCUAAUACCGCAUACGACCUACGGGUGAAAGCAGGGGAUCUUCGGACCUUGCGCGAUUGAAUGCGCCGAUGUCGGAUUAGCUCGUUGGCGGGGUAAAGGCCCACCAAGGCGACGAUCCGUAGCUGGUCUGAGAGGAUGAUCAGCCACACUGGAACUGAGACACGGUCCAGACUCCUACGGGAGGCAGCAGUGGGGAAUAUUGGACAAUGGGCGCAAGCCUGAUCCAGCCAUACCGCGUGGGUGAAGAAGGCCUUCGGGUUGUAAAGCCCUUUUGUUGGGAAAGAAAAGCAGCAGGUUAAUACCCCGCUGUUCUGACGGUACCCAAAGAAUAAGCACCGGCUAACUUCGUG